GAGGAAUCGGUGGAAGGAGCAGGUGGAAUACGGAGGGGGAGAGCGUUAAUCGGAAUGAUGGGGUGUAAAGUGUGCGUAGGCGGAUAAUUAAGUUAGAUGUUAAAUCCCUGAGCUUAACCUAGGAACUGCCUCUAAUACUGUUUAUCUGGAGUGCGGGAGAGGAUAGUGGAAGUUCCGGUGUAGCGGUGAAAUGCGUAGAUAUCGGAAGGAACACCAGUGGCGAAGGCGGCUAUCUGGACUGACACUGACGCUGAGGCGCGAGAGCGUGGGGAGCAAACAGGAUUAGAUACCCGAGUAGUC
This 300-nucleotide ribosomal RNA is filed under the name uncultured Acidianus sp. RNAcentral's name for it is "bacterial SSU rRNA". It matches the Rfam family "Bacterial small subunit ribosomal RNA", at positions 496 to 795 of the family's 1533-position model. The record is from RNAcentral. Lineage: Archaea; Thermoproteati; Thermoproteota; Thermoprotei; Sulfolobales; Sulfolobaceae.